This 3785-nucleotide long non-coding RNA is filed under the name Gossypium barbadense (sea-island cotton). Its description in RNAcentral is "long non-coding RNA (GBAR_LNC021579)". Lineage: Eukaryota; Viridiplantae; Streptophyta; Magnoliopsida; Malvales; Malvaceae. The record is from RNAcentral.
CUGACUGACUCUAAUUAAAACAAAGGGACCUCGAUUCAGCCUUGGGAAGUAAAAUUGAAAUGAAACUCUUGCUAGCUGGAGCUAUUUUUGUGCAACGGGAUAAGAAAAAAUCAAGGGAAUAGAUCAGAUUUUUGAUUUAUUAAAGGUUAUCAUUAUUCCAUAAAUAGAGGUGACCAGCAGCUAAGAAGGGGGUGGAAAAACAGAGAGAAAAAAUAGCAAAGGGGCGUGGCACUCAAGCAAGGAAAAAAUCUCUAAUUCGCCCAGCAAAAGCCGAUCAAGCAGCUAGAGUAGCAGCCAAAAAAAUUCUAGCUAAUCGAGAGGACGGAAGCUCGACGAUUUGAAGAAUUUUCCUUUCCAAAGAUUCAGUUUGUAAUUCAUGUUGUUACAAUUGAUUUUUUUUUGUUUUACUUGCUAUGAGUGGCUAACUUACUUAAGCUUAGUUAGACACUUAUGAAACCUCGCACAAGGAAUUUGAAGAUUUAUUUUGUUUAAAUUCGAAUUUGGCAUUCUUGAGUUUCUUAUUUUAUCGUUCAAGGAAUUUUUCUAAAUCAUUAGAUUGAUCACCUAUUUAAUUUAGGAAUUUUCUUAUAGUCAUCUAAGUGCAAAUUGAGUAAUCGAAUUUCUUAAUUAGACUUAGAGUUGGUGAUGAUUAAUUGGCCUGCAGCUAAUUGAAGCAACUACGGAUUUAAUUUUAGAAGUCGUUGGAGGAUUUUCUUUGAUUAAUGCAAGGUGGCGUCUCUAAAAUACUAAAUGCACUUUUAAUUAGUCAACAAAGAGAUAAUUAAAGGUAGGUUUUCAAUUACGAAUGUUCUCUAAUUGAAUUAAAAUUUAAUAGGGACAGGAAGUCGCUUCGUAAGUGAUUUUUUAGCCUUGCUGCUAAAUUGGUCUAUUAGGAUAAUUUAAGGACGCAAAGGACUUGGGCUUGGCGGAUUAAGAAGUCAGCAACUAAGCAUUCUUCUCUUUAUUUUGGCAGUUUUUAGCAUUUAUAAUUAAGGUUAAAAGUUUGUUCGAUUAGAUCGUUUUUAGUAAACAUAGAAGCAUAAACCCCCUCCUUUUUCCUUUCUUGCAUGCAUUUACAUUACCUUAAUUUCAAUUCUCUUCAAAUAGGUUUAACACGAGCUUCUUCGUGGGAUGAUUCCCUACUUACUCUAUAUUACCAGUUAAUAUUAGUGAAUAGUGGAUUGAAUUCGGUUGUCAUAACGACAGCUACCACAUGCUUAGCUAGUUAGACAAAGAAGGCUAUAGAGGACAAAGGAAGUAAGGUAAGUUUUUGUACUUUUCCUUAGGUGUUGUUUGUUGCUAUGCUGCUGAAAUGUUUUGAGUGAGUGUUUGUUUUGAGUUAAUAUGAAAUUUGUGGUUAUAAAUGAUUUUGAUGAUUUAGCAAACUAUGCAUGCAUAAGAUUGUGGACAUAAAUGCAUGUUUUCUUGUAUGCUCUCUAAAUGUACAUUGUGUUGGUGUAUUGACGUGUUAAAUUGUGGCAAACUCCUUAAUAUGUUAGUAUUUGGAAUGUUAUGCAUGAAUUUAAUGUUUUUAAUAUGCAGAGUAUAGAGGGAAUUACAAUGAUUGGGUAGAUGGAGAUAGGAAAAAUUUGGCAUAAUGGGUGAAUGAGUGGAUUGUUACGAGAUUCAAGGGAGUUGGGUGGUAUCAUGGAUUGAUUAUCUAUUAGCUCGCUAGAGUGACACCGCAACGAUGAUAUUGAACUAGUCAUUUGGGGUGAUACCUUUUAAAUGGUAUACAGGUCCUUCGGGGCAACACCAUGACAAUGGUUUAUAUGUUCCAUGGGGUGAUACUGUGACGACAGUCUGUAGGCUUCUUGGGACAACACCAUGAAAAUAGUUUGUAGGCUCUACGGAGCAACACCUUAAAAUAGGUUUAUAGACUCUUAGAGUCAUAAGACAUGGAUAUCAUGACGGGACUAAUAGUGAAUAAGUAAGUGAGCUAAUAAGAGCCCCGCCAAAAGGUAAAGGUAUAUGUAGGGUGAAGGGGGUAAUUCUUUCAAAGAAUUUUCAAAUUAGUAGCUGUUAAUAAGAGUCCACCAAUGGAGAUGAAUGAGCUAGUAUUGGACAUGAGAAUGGUGAGACGGUCCCUAAGACUCUAAUUCUAGGUGUUUCUUAGUAAUUAGUUUGUCAGAAUUGUGGAAAGUCCACCAAGGACUACCUCAUAGGGAAAGUCUGAUAAGCUCUGUUCUACAUGGAGAGUCCGCCAAAGACUACCUUGAAGACAAAAAUGUCCGCAAAGACUACCAUAUGGAUGGAAAAGCCGUCAAGGACUAUCUUAAAUAGGGAGUCAUCUAAAGACGAUCUAAUGAGGAGAUGGUCCGUUAGGAUCUAUUUUGGUUUGGAAGUCCAUUAAGACUAUCUGAUCAGUGGAAUCAUUUGUUCAGACAAUCCUAAAGAGGGAAUGUCCAUGGGAUUUCUUACUAGAACAACUCUGCAAGAUAGGAGUAGUUUUUACAUCCAUCCACUAAAUUUUGUACCUAAAGGCCCUAUAACGAGCGUGUAUAUAUACGUAACUUAAUGGGAAACAUGUCUCGAAGUUGUCUAUGAAACUAUCUAUGUGAAUAAGUCAAAUAUUAAGGUAGGUAAAAGUCUGAACAUGGAAACCUACAGAUGUUCAUAUGGGUUAUUUUUCUCGGGGUAGGUAUAUGCCUAAAUUUAAUUACAUGGUAGAUAUCUAAAUAGUAUUGUAUGAAGGCAUUAGGAUCAAUGGAAAAUGAAGGAAACCAAGUAAGAGUUCACCAAAUUACUGAAUCAUCUGUAAGCACGCUAAAUCUAGUCAGAAUUUUGAAUACCAGACUGUGUGGCUAUCUUUCUAAUGAGUCAAGCCAGCAAGGAAGAAAAUAAUUUGGAGACAAAGCUUGAUAAAGUCAUAUCUCAGAAAGAGAUUGUCAGAAAGUGUACGAUCGCAUUUAAAGUUUUCACGAAUAUUCGCAGAGAUGUUCAAGAAGAACUCCUAGCAUACUCAACCUUAUUUGCGAAAAUCUUUUAGUGAACUUAGGGAGUUUAAAUAUAUUGCAAAUGCUUUAUAUCUAGAAUUUCCAGUGUUAUUUAGAAGUAUUAAUGUAUGGUUUUUCACUAAGUUCAUUUGAACUUAUGAGCGAAUUUUGCCUUCUCUACAGGAUCAGGCUAAAAUAGGAUUAUGUGGAAAAGGACCAAGCCAGACCACACGGAACCCUAGAGGAAAGUUAGUGUUAUAGUGUUAUGCAUAUAGAGGGGCACCCUUUGAGGCUAUGCCUCAGGGUUAGAAUAAGUGUAGUUGAGAAAAAAUUAUGUUCGGGAUUUAUGCGAUUUACAUAUCCAGUAAACGAAAUUAUUGUAAGAAUUUGGUUCUACUUACUUUGUUAUACACAUCAAGAAGAUGUCUUUUAAAGUUUAGUUGUAAAGUGUAUUUGAUAGUUAAUUAUUAAAAAAUAAUAUCAUAUAAAAGCAGAAUUUCGCAUAAAUGGAGUAAGAUUGAAUCUUAGAAAAGCAAUUAAUUAAUUUGGUUCAAUCGUAGCAUUCGAAACCCGAACUUGACGAGCGAUUUAGGUAAAGAGUGUUACAAAACAUGAGAUAUUAUGUGAUGUUAUCAUGAUGGGGGAGUAAAUAUGUGUUCUACUCUUUUUCCCGUGAUGGAGGUUUUGGCCCACUGAAUUUUCCUAGUAAGGUUUUUAAUGAGGUAGCAUGUUAUGCGUAUUAUAGAUAUGUAUACUCAUUUUCCUUCACUGAGAAUUUUUUCCCACAAGGUUUUUAUCUUAAUAAGGUUUUAAAAAGGCACAUUAUCUACCAAUGGACAUUCAACAGGG